Long non-coding RNA from Brachypodium distachyon (stiff brome), 1012 nucleotides. RefSeq lists it as uncharacterized. NCBI's taxonomy places the organism in Eukaryota, Viridiplantae, Streptophyta, Magnoliopsida, Poales, Poaceae. The record is from RefSeq and is a predicted model, not a curated record. The transcript is spliced from 2 exons.
GCGAUGGGCUGGCACAGGAGAAAUUGUGAUUGAUGUAGCAGUACGAACAAGUCUCGUCUGGCCAGUUCGAACAGCAUGUUGGAAUUCAUUGCGUCUCUCCACCGUAAAUAUCUCUCCCUCCAUUCCCCCCAGCCACCUACCCUACCUCGUACGAUCCCCAUCCUUAAGCAUCCCCGCGCUCGAUCCAUUCACCGGGUCAUUCUGCGCGCGACGGGUGAGGGUCAUGUGCAACGCAGGGAGGUCGCCGGGCGCAGCAGCGGCUGAUCCGGUGCUUUGCCGGCGGAUUUGGUGCGCGGUGUGGCGGAGAUGGACAUGGCGGUUUCUUCCCCACUGACCCGGCCUUUGGCCGCCUGUGCCUGCGCGUGAGGCGGAUGGGGCAGCUCAUGGUCCACGGCGACAAUGCUUCCCAUGCCGCCGCCGUCGCUGCCAGCCCCCAUGUCGCGCCUCGCCACCACGCGCUUCAAACCCCGCUGGCGACGGCUAGGACGGAUUAUCAGAUUGUAGCACCGGACCUCCAGGGGCAUCAGGUGUGCAUGUUGAUGCUGUUUCUGGUAAUACAUCAGCCAUGCUUGUCCUUUCUUUUAUGGAAUACACAGAGACGCAACAUGCAUGGUGACUCUCAGGGUAUCUUUUGACCUUUCGUAGUUCAACCAAUUUUUUUGAAAUUUUAAUUCAUUUGGUUGAACCAAGGAAGGUCAAAGGGUACCUUGAGGGUUACAAUUUUGCAGCUCUAGGAAUACAACAGUAGUAGUACAUCUAUAGUUCGUAUGGUUGUAUGAUUGAGGAUUUGAGGUGUGCUUGUGUGGUUGGCAUGUGGUUUUGCUGUUUUGCUGGUUGCUUUAGAAUUUGAACUGAUGAUUUAUGUAUGUUUUGGUAGUAGCACUAUGAAAUCAUUUGGCAUGUAAUGAGGCACCAUAGCUUAAUCAUGCGGAUGUUCUGCAGUUUAUGGAGAACUGCGCCUGUCAUUUGGGCCAGGCCGUGUUAAUUAAGUAGGUACUGAAACGCUUAAUGA